CAGUCGCCGCGGUAAUACGAAGGGGGCUAGCGUUGUUCGGAAUUACUGGGCGUAAAGCGCACGUAGGCGGACUUUUAAGUCAGGGGUGAAAUCCCGGGGCUCAACCUCGGAACUGCCUUUGAUACUGGAAGUCUUGAGUGUGGAAGAGGUAAGUGGAAUUGCGAGUGUAGAGGUGAAAUUCGUAGAUAUUCGCAGGAACACCAGUGGCGAAGGCGGCUUACUGGUCCACAACUGACGCUGAGGUGCGAAAGCGUGGGGAGCAAACAGGAUUAGAUACCCCAGUAGUCCCUGUCUCUUAUAA
Molecule: ribosomal RNA, 301 nt
Filed under: uncultured bacterium
Lineage: Bacteria
Description: partial 16S ribosomal RNA
Rfam family: Bacterial small subunit ribosomal RNA
Source: RNAcentral